GGGCUCGUAGCUCAACGGUUAGAGCAGAGGACUCAUAAUCCUUUGGUUCCUGGUUCGAGUCCAGGCGAGCCCA
RNAcentral lists this transfer RNA (73 nucleotides) under Omnitrophica bacterium GWA2_52_8. RNAcentral describes it as "tRNA-Met". It matches the Rfam family "tRNA". From Rfam's summary of the family: Transfer RNA (tRNA) molecules are approximately 80 nucleotides in length. The record is from RNAcentral. Lineage: Bacteria; Pseudomonadati; Candidatus Omnitrophota.